RNAcentral lists this ribosomal RNA (406 nucleotides) under uncultured bacterium. RNAcentral's name for it is "partial 16S ribosomal RNA". It matches the Rfam family "Bacterial small subunit ribosomal RNA", at positions 30 to 526 of the family's 1533-position model. The record is from RNAcentral.
AUUGAACGCUGGCGGCAGGCCUAACACAUGCAAGUCGAACGAGUGGCGGACGGGUGAGUAAUGUCUGGGAAACUGCCCGAUGGAGGGGGAUAACUACUGGAAACGGUAGCUAAUACCGCAUACCAUCGGAUGUGCCCAGAUGGGCUUAGCUAGUAGGUGGGGUAAUGGCUAACCUAGGCGACGAUCCAUAGCUGGUCUGAGAGGAUGACCAGGCACACUGGAACUGAUACACUGUCCAGACUCCUACGGGAGGCAGCAGGGGGGAAUAUUGCACAAUGGGCGCAAGCCUGAUGUAGCCAUGCCGCGUGUGUGAAGAAGGCCUUCGGGUUGUAAAGCACUUUCAGCGGGGAGGCGUUACCCGCAGAAGAAGCACCGGCUAACUCCGUGCCAGCAGCCGCGGUAAUUC